CUGCUCACGCCUAGCCCCAGGGUCCCGGUCCUUACGCCCCCGCCCCAGGGCAGCCCUGUGAAGUUGCAAGCUCUGAACGGAAGCCCUGCACGUUUGCUUCAGACACCAGUGCAAAGGCACUGGGCCCUGACACGGACUGACCCAUUGAGAAGAGAGGAACAUCGAGAGCCUCCCCCAAAGCAUCCUGGGACCCAGGAACCCCCGUCCUGGACCAGCACGAGGACUGCCAUCUUCUAGAACGGGAAAGACCCCCAUGCCCGGGCAGUAGGAACAGCCAUGAGGCAGCACAGUGGGGACAUGGGACACCAGGCAGCCGAGAAGAGUGACAGGGUUCUGGCAGUGAACCCACGGCAUCUGAGGGGUCCUGGUCUGGACACCUGCUGCUGCACAGGUGAGCCCUGUGGACUGACAGCCACGUGAGACGCGCAGACACAAAAGGCCCCGUAAAUCUAUAGAGAGAGACAGGAAGCGGAUUCGUGGUCGCCAGGGGCUGGGGGGCAUGGGGUCUCCUCUCGGGGUGAUGAAAUGUUCUGGAACAAGA
This 541-nucleotide long non-coding RNA is filed under the name Suricata suricatta (meerkat). RNAcentral's name for it is "lncRNA (ENSSSUG00005005748.1)". Lineage: Eukaryota; Metazoa; Chordata; Mammalia; Carnivora; Herpestidae. The record is from RNAcentral.